AGCAGCUUCUGGUUGGUUGAAGCGGAAGAGCCCUAGCGAAAGAGAAAGUUGCCUGCAUGCCAUGAGCUGAAUCCCAUCUGAUGUAGACGUUCAAGCGACGGCCUACAACACAAGAAGACUAGAACAGUGCAAAAUGGUGUAUAUAAUGAAGUGCUGCUCAUGGGUCCUUCACCGCUCUGCCGGACAGUCAGCUCUUUCAUACAGAGAACUCAGAGCGUCUGAACCCCACCGGAGGGCGGUAUUUAUCCACCAGGAGAUUGCAGUAGCACCUCAUCUCACACUGAGGCUCUCUAAUGGCACAGCGCGGCUCCCACAACGCCACAGACACAGAGGGACAGAGGCCUCCAUCAUCUUUGGGUGUCUGGAGAAGUUGGACUGGAGUGUGAACCCGCUGGGUGACGGACCCUGUCCUGCCUGCUGUCAGCCUGCCCCCUAAUGGCCAGCUUCCCCCUGCUGGCCUGCAUCUUCAAACCCUGCUGCUUGUAGCUACACAGCCUCCUACGGGCCAGCGCCUUCGCAGGAAUAAAGCAACACCGCCUCUUACUGGCCAGCACACUGGCAGGAACAGGGCACCUGAAGUUGGUGAAUCUGUCCCAUAAUGCCCUGUGCUCUAUGGGCUUUGAGCUGGUCCUGAAGACUCUGCCUCUCCAAUGUCUCACUCAACUCGAUCUGUCUGCCAUCCGCUGUGGAACCGCUGACCACCCUCCUUCAAAACAUCUGACGAUGACUGCUCCCUGACCCACCUGAGUCUUGCAGGAAAUCAACUGAUGGACGGCAGAGUGGCCACCCUCGCCAGGUGUGUGUUUGUGGUUUCUCUCAAUGUAUAUCACCCUUGUCCUUCUAUAUUUAGCUGCCUGGGUCUUUUCCAAGUGUCUGCCCUGUACACUACCUCUGGAUCGUGUGACCUGACUGUCCAGUACUGAGCUCUGUAAGUUCAGUGUGUCCUGCUGUCCAGGUGUUGGCCUGUCUGUCUCUCCGUGGUGUAUGUGGACCUGUGAGAGAAACAGGCAGGGACCUCAGCGGGACUCCACAGCCUCCUCUCCACCCAGUGACUUUUGACCUAUCUGAACGUCCAUGCAACCUCCCAACAUUUGCUGAUUGACUGAAGAAAUGGUCAAGCUGAGAAAUGAUUAAAUCGCUUUGAUCUGUCAUGUUCCCCCUAGUCUCUUCCC
This is a long non-coding RNA of Oncorhynchus tshawytscha (Chinook salmon), 1172 nucleotides long. Lineage: Eukaryota; Metazoa; Chordata; Actinopteri; Salmoniformes; Salmonidae. The record is from Ensembl.